RNAcentral lists this non-coding RNA (21 nucleotides) under Arabidopsis thaliana (thale cress). Lineage: Eukaryota; Viridiplantae; Streptophyta; Magnoliopsida; Brassicales; Brassicaceae. The record is from RNAcentral.
UUUGAGGGGAAUGUUGUCUGG